CCUACGGGGGGCAGCAGUGAGGCAUCUUGGUCAAUGGACGAGAGUCUGAACCAGCCAAGUAGCGUGAAGGAUGACUGCCCUGUGGGUUGUAAACUUCUUUUAUAUGGGAAUAAAACGUUCCACGUGUGGGAUUUUGUAUGUACCAUCUGAAUAAGGAUCGGCUAACUCCGUGCCAGCAGCCGCGGUAGUACGGAGGAUCCGAGCGUUAUCCGGAUUUAUUGGGUUUAAAGGGAGCGUAGGUGGAUUGUUAAGUCAGUUGUGAAAGUUUGCGGCUCAACCGUAAAAUUGCAGUUGAAACUGGCAGUCUUGAGUACAGUAGAGGUGAGCGGAAUUCGUGGUGUAGCGGUGAAAUGCUUAGAUAUCACGAAGAACUCCGAUUGCGAAGGCAGUUCACUGGACUGCAACUGACACUGAGGCUCGAAAGUGUGGGUAUCAAACAGGAUUAGAUACACCAGUAGUC
Molecule: ribosomal RNA, 460 nt
Filed under: uncultured bacterium
Lineage: Bacteria
Description: partial 16S ribosomal RNA
Rfam family: Bacterial small subunit ribosomal RNA
Source: RNAcentral